UCCCUCCUGAAGCUGCACCCUCGGUCAAAGAGGAGGACUUUGCCUACUAGAGGAGGACUGUUCUUCAGUCAAGUGUAUAUGAGUAGCUGUGCUCCCCUGCAAGAACCUCCAAACAAGCUCUCAGCUGAUUUUUGACAAAGGUGCACAAGC
RNAcentral lists this small RNA (150 nucleotides) under Dasypus novemcinctus (nine-banded armadillo). RNAcentral describes it as "7SK RNA (ENSDNOG00000037732.1)". It matches the Rfam family "7SK RNA", at positions 116 to 273 of the family's 331-position model. Rfam says of the family: 7SK was discovered as an abundant small nuclear RNA in the mid-70s but a possible function has only recently been suggested. Two independent studies have found that 7SK RNA binds the CDK9/cyclin T complex (known as elongation factor P-TEFb). P-TEFb activates transcription by phosphorylating the C-terminal domain of RNA polymerase II. Lineage: Eukaryota; Metazoa; Chordata; Mammalia; Cingulata; Dasypodidae. The record is from RNAcentral.